ACGUACACUCCUACGGGAGGCAGCAGUGGGGAAUAUUGGACAAUGGGCGCAAGCCUGAUCCAGCCAUGCCGCGUGAGUGAUGAAGGCCCUAGGGUUGUAAAGCUCUUUCACCGGUGAAGAUAAUGACGGUAACCGGAGAAGAAGCCCCGGCUAACUUCGUGCCAGCAGCCGCGGUAAUACGAAGGGGGCUAGCGUUGUUCGGAUUUACUGGGCGUAAAGCGCACGUAGGCGGACUAUUAAGUCAGGGGUGAAAUCCCGGGGCUCAACCCCGGAACUGCCUUUGAUACUGGUAGUCUUGAGUUCGAGAGAGGUGAGUGGAAUUCCGAGUGUAGAGGUGAAAUUCGUAGAUAUUCGGAGGAACACCAGUGGCGAAGGCGGCUCACUGGCUCGAUACUGACGCUGAGGUGCGAAAGCGUGGGGAGCAAACAGGAUUAGAUACCCGGGUAGUCC
RNAcentral lists this ribosomal RNA (450 nucleotides) under uncultured organism. RNAcentral's name for it is "partial 16S ribosomal RNA". It matches the Rfam family "Bacterial small subunit ribosomal RNA", at positions 329 to 796 of the family's 1533-position model. The record is from RNAcentral.